RNAcentral lists this ribosomal RNA (235 nucleotides) under uncultured bacterium. RNAcentral describes it as "partial 16S ribosomal RNA". It matches the Rfam family "Bacterial small subunit ribosomal RNA", at positions 97 to 334 of the family's 1533-position model. The record is from RNAcentral.
GGCGGACGGGUGAGUAAUACUUAGGAAUCUGCCCAUUAGUGGGGGACAACAUUCGGAAACGGAUGCUAAUACCGCAUACGCCCUACGGGGGAAAGCGGGGGAUCUUUUAGACCUCGCGCUAAUGGAUGAGCCUAAGUCGGAUUAGCUUGUUGGUGAGGUAAUGGCUCACCAAGGCAACGAUCCGUAGCUGGUCUGAGAGGACGAUCAGCCACACUGGGACUGAGACACGGCCCAG